ACAGUGCAACAAUUACAUUUGUUAUACACAGUAAUUGGCCAGGUCAUGGAGGUGCGAACUUCUCUCUUCUAUGACUGUGGUGUGUUCACCU
Etheostoma cragini (Arkansas darter) is the source of this 91-nucleotide long non-coding RNA. RefSeq lists it as uncharacterized. The transcript is spliced from 3 exons. NCBI's taxonomy places the organism in Eukaryota, Metazoa, Chordata, Actinopteri, Perciformes, Percidae. The record is from RefSeq and is a predicted model, not a curated record.